This is a non-coding RNA of Pimephales promelas (fathead minnow), 1321 nucleotides long. NCBI's taxonomy places the organism in Eukaryota, Metazoa, Chordata, Actinopteri, Cypriniformes, Leuciscidae. The record is from RefSeq and is a predicted model, not a curated record.
CAGACUCAUAAUAUGAAGAAGCAAUGUGCAUUCCAGCACAUGAGCUACGCUUAGGGUCGCAAAAUGCAUUGAAUCGUGUGCUUUUCCUCCAUUUCAUUCUGAGUGUACUGGAUAUUUCACUUGCAUAUUACUUGUGAACUGUGUGGAAAUCAAAUUAUAUCCGACUUCGCCAUCUCUCGCUAACAAUCCUGCGUUCACCUCACAGCCACUGAACAUGUGGAGGACGAGGAGGAGUGUGUGUGGCAUUGGGGGUUGGAGUUGUAGAAAGACUCUGGUAAUUGGUCAGAUCGUCUUGAUCAGCAGUCCUUGUGUCUGCCAGAGUUCAAAUCUUAUUGAUACAGAUGUAACCGGGGACGCACAGAAGAGGCGAAAAUGCCAGCUAAUUAGCAGACGAAAAGAGAGGGAAUGAGCACGGAGGGAGGGAACGUCGGAUUCGGGGGACAGAGAGGUGCUUCUACUGAACUCUUAAUGAGACAUCUUUGGGGGUGAGGGGGUGACGUGCUCAUCAAACCGCACACACGGCAAUCUCGAAAAAUGUGUGCUUCCUCUGAGCCGCACAAUGCUAACUAAUGAUCUGCAACUAGAGCGGGAGCGAGAGGGGUAAAAUGUCAGCUGAUGCACAGUUUUAAUGAGCUUGUUGUGAAAGGCGAGCAUGGGCGAGGGAAAGAAAAUGACAGCGACAAACAUCGACAGGACUGACCCAUCACGCUUCCCUUGAAGUCUCGAAAUUGCCACGGGCUUUGCUUGAUUUGCCCAUUUAAUAGAGGCAACCUGUAUCUCUCGAGAGGGCUUUGUUGAAGAUUGCUUCGUGCCAUUUUCUCUGGAAGGACAAGGUCAGGGAGAUCUCUUUCCCUCCGUGGUAAAGUCAGAGGACAGCGGAUGACAACAGAUAGGUCUUGUAGCCCUCUGAUUCGCACGGUAGUAUCAGACGUGUCCUUCAUCCUCUGCCUCCCCAUCUUUUGUGUGCGCGUCCAGAGCUCUUGUUUUGAGUGACAGGCAUUUUCCAGGCGCGUCACGUUGACUGACGGGGCACGGCAACCCGGACCUGUCGAUCACGAGGAUUCGGUGGUCGAUCACACCACCAGACGUACAGGUGCCAGGGUUCACUUGUCAGAACUCGCUGCUUGCUUGACACGGGCUUCCUUAGUGCUUUAAGCCAUUUCAAAUUCAGUGGUAAAAACACUGCCAAAGAUGAAAUUAUAAAUUUGUUAAUUGUAUUAAUGAAAUCAUAUUAAUUAUAAUACAAACACAGUAUGUUGUGUAUAAUAUGAAUGUGCACCACUUAAUAAACAUGAAGUAUAGUUUAUGUCAUUUUACAUCA